Molecule: long non-coding RNA, 1279 nt
Filed under: Coccomyxa subellipsoidea
Lineage: Eukaryota; Viridiplantae; Chlorophyta; Trebouxiophyceae; Coccomyxaceae
Description: long non-coding RNA (CSUB_LNC000753)
Source: RNAcentral
GGGGCUGCGGAUGGAGCAGGCUGUGCAGGGCCUGAGGGUGUGUCCAAGUCAAACUCCAGUAGGCUGGGCACCGCUGCAGCGGUCCUGCUACUUGCUGCUGCCUGCGUUCGGCAGAAGCACCCUUCAGACUGCUGUAUAAAUCAGCGAUGUUGCCACACGAGAGUGAUAACGAAUAGUGGCAUACGUAGUUUGUCAAGCAUAAAUCUAUGAUUAAAGGCAUCCAAAUUGCCUGGACGCAGGAACAUGCGGCACAGAACUGAGGCCAGAUAAUGACUGGCGCCCGUGAGACCUGCGCAUGCGAGAAAGCUCCUGGGACAGGAUCAUGAGUGUGGACGAGUGGAACACCUGUUUCUGGGGCGUUCUGCGAUUGGCGGGCCGGGAGGGGGCGCUGUCGUCGCCAAACAGCGAGGCCGCCAGCCGCGCCUUGUCCUUGGAAAUCUCCACCGGCUCGGGGUCCUGCGCCCGCGCCGCCCUCACCGACGCCGCUCCUGCAACACCUUUUAUCCCUUGUCAGCAUCUCGGCAAUAGCACAUCAGUGGCCUCUCGAGACGAACACUCCUCGCCCAGUCAAAGCAAAUACACAGCUGAAAUCGUCUGAAUCAGGAGGCAAAUCAGAAGGCACUCCCUCCAGAGGCAUGAUGAGAAGACGUCAUCCCAGCAUAACAUAAUAAUAGCCAGGAACAACGGCCAAACAUCUUUGUUGAUGAUUCUUGAGACCUUGUGAAAGGUCUCUGAAUAACUCACCAGUAGUGGAGGUGGGGGCGGCAGUGGCGGCGACUGAGGCCGGCUGCGGCUGGGGCGCGAAUUGGGCUGGGCCCCACUUGCGUGCGCCGGAGCUGCGGAGCGCCAGCUGCGGCUCCGAGGACACAGCCGCGGCGGCUGACGAGGCCGGUGCAGCGCUGCCGCUGUCCAGCAGCAGGCCGCCAUCUUGUGGCCCUGGAAUGAUAUAUUUGUAUUUCAGGACGGAUCAUGGGACAUCACUCCUGUCUAUGCAUAUACUUUGCAGUGGACACGCAUGAUGAUAUAAUAGAGUAUGAAAAGGGAUUUCCAGAAGAUGGAUCUCUUUAAAGAAGCUCGCAGCCAAUGGCGAUCAUGACUUUGGCAGAAGAACAUAAGCAGGCCAGAUCAGCAUGAUGAAGAGCUCGAUUGCUGGAGAUGGUCGCUAGGGCGAGUAAAAAGGUGUUGGCGCACCUCGGAGAGGGCUGUGCUCUCUGCUCUGCGUGGCUGCCUGGCUGGGAGGGGCCGCCUUCUCAUAGGCCGUGAAGCGCAGAGCAUGGGU